AUUGAACGCUGGCGGCAGGCCUAACACAUGCAAGUCGAAUGGUAACAGGAAACAGCUUGCUGUUUCGCUGACGAGUGGCGGACGGGUGAGUAAUGUCUGGGAAACUGCCUGAUGGAGGGGGAUAACUACUGGAAACGGUAGCUAAUACCGCAUGACGUCGCAAGACCAAAGAGGGGGACCUUCGGGCCUCUUGCCAUCAGAUGUGCCCAGAUGGGAUUAGCUAGUAGGUGGGGUAACGGCUCACCUAGGCGACGAUCCCUAGCUGGUCUGAGAGGAUGACCAGCCACACUGGAACUGAGACACGGUCCAGACUCCUACGGGAGGCAGCAGUGGGGAAUAUUGCACAAUGGGCGCAAGCCUGAUGCAGCCAUGCCGCGUGUAUGAAGAAGGCCUUCGGGUUGUAAAGUACUUUCAGCGGGGAGGAAGGGAGUAAAGUUAAUACCUUGGCUCAUUGACGUUACCCGCAGAAGAAGCACCGGCUAACUCCGUG
This 490-nucleotide ribosomal RNA is filed under the name uncultured bacterium. RNAcentral describes it as "partial 16S ribosomal RNA". It matches the Rfam family "Bacterial small subunit ribosomal RNA", at positions 30 to 507 of the family's 1533-position model. The record is from RNAcentral.